GUAGGUGAACCUGCGGAAGGAUCAUUACCUUUCUGUCCUUUGGGACAUUUGGCGGGGCUAUGGUCUCCAUAGCCUCUGUCUAAAACCGUGUCUUUUGCGUACUACUUGUUUCCUCGGCGGGCUUGCCCGCCGGUUGGACCCCUUAAAACUCUUUGCAAUUGCAAUCAGCGUCUGAAUAAUAUAAUAAUUACAACUUUUAACAACGGAUCUCAUGGUUCUGGCAUCGAUGAAGAACGCAGCAUCUGACUGA
RNAcentral lists this unclassified non-coding RNA (250 nucleotides) under plant metagenome. Its description in RNAcentral is "partial contains small subunit ribosomal RNA, internal transcribed spacer 1, and 5.8S ribosomal RNA". The record is from RNAcentral.